GGCUGAAAUUCGCCUUCAUGAAGUUGGAAUUGCUAGUAAUGGCAGGUCAGCAUACUGCCGUGAAUACGUUCCCGGGCCUUGUACACACCGCCCGUCACACCAUGAGAGUUGGAAAUACCCGAAGCCUGUGAGCUAACUUAAAGAGGCAGCAGUCGAAGGUAGAGCCAAUGAGUUGGGGUGAAGUCGUAACAAGGUACC
RNAcentral lists this ribosomal RNA (198 nucleotides) under uncultured bacterium. RNAcentral's name for it is "partial 16S ribosomal RNA". It matches the Rfam family "Bacterial small subunit ribosomal RNA", at positions 1303 to 1500 of the family's 1533-position model. The record is from RNAcentral.